Molecule: small RNA, 1954 nt
Filed under: Pan troglodytes (chimpanzee)
Lineage: Eukaryota; Metazoa; Chordata; Mammalia; Primates; Hominidae
Description: retained intron
Source: RNAcentral
CACCAGCUGGCCAGGAUGGGUCUUCAACAAGAAAUCUCACUGGUAAGUGAUGACAGCAUGGGACCAGGGUCCCAUGAAGACCUGCUGGAGGGCCGCACCUCUGGGAAGGUAGACUUGGAGCUUGGUCCAGUGAAGAGGGAACAGCACGGGGAACAGCGUGUGUGAGGGUCCCGCCAUGUCUCAGCCCUUUCCUGGCCCCUGCACUUAGCCUUCGGUGCCCAUCUUCAGGGUCAGGGGAAGCCCAGGCCAAAGCGGGCCGGGAAGGGGCCCUGUGGAUAAGGCCGAGAGCCUGUCCCAAAAUAGGGCCGGCAGGAUUUCCCACCCAUAAAAGGCUCUUGGAAUCUGGACCCCGGGGACCCCAGGCAGCCAGGCCCAGCUAAAACUCAGCUGCCACCACUGCCCCAGCACUCUGCCCACAGCAGCCCUGGUGCCACCACCCUGCAGAAUCCUGUCAGACAACCACCGACAUGGUAAGGCUGCUCUCUGUGCCCGAUGGAGUCUCUGGUGGGCUGGCUGGGUAGGUUGAGCUGGAACCUGGAGGUGCAAUGACCUGCCAGGGAGCCUGGACAGGAAGGGGCUGAGGUAGAAGAGGGGGCCAAGCCCUACUGCCACCAACACGGCCCUUGUUCCGGGGCCAGGGUGGAGCAGCCCUUUCUGGAAGCUGGCUCCCAGAUGGGCAGCAGCAGUGGUGGCAGGCAGGUGUGGCCCGGUGCUGUACUCUCCCUCCGGAAUGCCACACAGGCUGGAGCCCAGGGUUCUGCUUCCUGGGCUGUAUCCCAAUCCUGGGCUGGAAGCCUUUCCCGGGCCAGGGCUGGGCUCCUCCCCACCCUGCUCUCGGCUUCCUUCACCUGCCUCACCCGGUGUCCAUUGCCAGGCUCCAGGGCCGCGGCCUGGCCCGCCUGGCCCUGCAGCUGCUGCUGUUCUCUCGCACGCUGGCUCCUGCCUGUCUGGCCCUUGCCCCUGUUAGCUGCCUGGCAGAGCCCUGCUGGCCCUGCAAACCCCUGGCAUGUGACCCCUUGUCCUGGAAGCCUGCUCUCCACUGGGGGCCUCCUCUCUUACCACUCACCUUGAAAGGCUGCCAAUGGAGGAAUGGGUGCAGGGGGUACCUCUGACCCUUCCCUGGACACAGGGGCAGAAGGGGCUCCUGGUCAGGCCGGUGCGGGUGUCCCCUGCAGACAGAGUGCCUGUCGGCUGAGCAGAUCAAGGAGUACAAGGGAGUCUUUGAGAUGUUCGACGAAGAGGGCAACGGGGAGGUGAAGACGGGGGAGCUGGAGCGGCUCAUGAGCCUGCUGGGCAUCAACCCCACCAAGAGUGAGCUGGCCUCAAUGGCCAAGGACGUGGACAGAGACAGUGAGCUCAUGGCUGGAGUGGGGUGGGCAGCCUCGGGGGGGCCCUGGGUCAGGUCUCAGUGCCUAUGGGGGGAAGAGGCAAAGCCCAUGGGGAGUGCUGUGCCCCGUCCCUGGAGCCCCAGCUGUGCCCCUUGCAGACAAAGGGUUCUUCAACUGCGAUGGUUUCCUGGCACUAAUGGGAGUUUACCAUGAGAAGGCCCAGAACCAGGAGAGCGAGCUGAGGGCGGCAUUCCGUGUCUUCGACAAAGAGGGCAAGGGCUACAUUGACUGGAACACACUCAAGUACGUGCUAAUGAAUGCAGGGGAGCCCCUCAACGAGGUGGAGGCGGAGCAGAUGAUGAAGGAGGCCGACAAGGAUGGGGACGGGACCAUCGACUAUGAGGGUGAGUGGCCUGGAGCCCUGGGAGCCGUUGGCUGGGCCGGGGCAAGCUGCUGACCUGCCCCUCUGUUCCCAGAGUUUGUGGCCAUGAUGACGGGGGAGUCCUUCAAGCUGAUCCAGUAGGUGCAGCUGCCGCAGCCGGGGGAGGCCUGCCCGGGAAGGCUGCUGCCCCUGCCCCCUGGCCCCCACUCCCCCGGCUCCGUGUAAAAUAAAUGUUCCAGCCCGA